AUUGAACGCUGGCGGCAGGCUUAACACAUGCAAGUCGAGCGGGGGAAGGUAGCUUGCUACUGGACCUAGCGGCGGACGGGUGAGUAAUGCUUAGGAAUCUGCCUAUUAGUGGGGACAACAUCUCGAAAGGGAUGCUAAUACCGCAUACGUCCUACGGGAGAAAGCAGGGGAUCUUCGGACCUUGCGCUAAUAGAUGAGCCUAAGUCGGAUUAGCUAGUUGGUGGGGUAAAGGCCGACCAAGGCGACGUUCUGUGGCGGGUCUGAGAGGAUGAUCCGCCACACUGGGACUGAGACACGGCCCAGACUCCUACGGGAGGCAGCAGUGGGGAAUAUUGGACAAGGGGGGGAACCCUGAUCCAGCCAUGCCGCGUGUGUGAAGAAGGCCUUAUGGUUGUAAAGCACUUUAAGCGAGGAGGAGGCUACUCUAGUUAAUACCUAGGGAUAGUGGACGUUACUCGCAGAAUAAGCACCGGCUAACUCUGUGCCAGCCGCCGCCGUAA
RNAcentral lists this ribosomal RNA (500 nucleotides) under uncultured bacterium. RNAcentral's name for it is "partial 16S ribosomal RNA". It matches the Rfam family "Bacterial small subunit ribosomal RNA", at positions 30 to 523 of the family's 1533-position model. The record is from RNAcentral.